Molecule: transfer RNA, 77 nt
Filed under: Pandoraea thiooxydans
Lineage: Bacteria; Pseudomonadati; Pseudomonadota; Betaproteobacteria; Burkholderiales; Burkholderiaceae
Also listed under: 8 other names
Description: tRNA-Ile
Rfam family: tRNA
About the family: Transfer RNA (tRNA) molecules are approximately 80 nucleotides in length. Their secondary structure includes four short double-helical elements and three loops (D, anti-codon, and T loops).
Source: RNAcentral
GGGUCUGUAGCUCAGGUGGUUAGAGCACACGCUUGAUAAGCGUGGGGUCGUAGGUUCAAGUCCUACCAGACCCACCA